RNAcentral lists this ribosomal RNA (765 nucleotides) under Triticum aestivum (bread wheat). Its description in RNAcentral is "partial small subunit ribosomal RNA". The record is from RNAcentral. Lineage: Eukaryota; Viridiplantae; Streptophyta; Magnoliopsida; Poales; Poaceae.
AUGCCGCUCUCCUCAGUGCGUCGAGACACCUCAAUCGCUGCUGCAUGCCGCUCUCCUGAGUGCGCCGACCCACUGCUGUGCCCCUGCUUUGUCCAUCUACAUCACCCGCAUCACCCAAGCCCUCCUCCAAAUCUCUCGUCCUCCCUCUCAAUCUCCUCCUCCCUCUCAAUCUCGGCAUCCCACCCAUGGCACUCCACGCGCUGGACAACUAGUUGCCGGCCGCCGUGGCGGACCAGCGGCCCAAGAAGGCCGCCAAGCUGCUCUCCACGGCACCUACCAUCGCCGUCGCCCGCUCCCCCACCGGGAGUGGAGCCGACCGUGGAGUACGUCCGGUCCAUGGACCUGCUGCCCGUCCUCGGCCCCAAAGCCCGAACCGCCGGCCUCGUCGCUAGGCUCGAAUCCCGGGACUGGGUCAUGGCCUGCGAGGCCCUCAACGACGCGCGCCGCCUCGCCAUCCACCACUCCGCCCUCCUCGCCCCCAUCAUAGAGAAGGUGGUGCUGGGGAUCUUGAAGACGGUGAAGGACCCGCUCAACGCCGUUCUCAAGACCUUCGUGAUGGUGUGCACGGACGUAUUCGCGGCCUUCGGCAACCUCUGGUUGAGCAGCAGCUGUAGCAGCAGCUUGUCCAAGCUGAUGUGUGCCAUGGCCACCUCCAUGCCGCCCCUGCAGAUGCACAGGUUGAAUGGAUCGAUGUCCAGCAUUGUUAGCACUCUCAAACUUGAGCGCGCAUGCGUUGCUCUUUCUACUCCGUUUUUAACGGAAUGA